AAGGCCUUAGUUUAAUUAAAACAUUUGAUUUGCACUCAUAAUAUGCGAGAUAGAGUCUUGUAGGUCUUA
Molecule: transfer RNA, 69 nt
Filed under: Acheilognathus majusculus
Lineage: Eukaryota; Metazoa; Chordata; Actinopteri; Cypriniformes; Acheilognathidae
Description: tRNA-Ala
Rfam family: tRNA
About the family: Transfer RNA (tRNA) molecules are approximately 80 nucleotides in length. Their secondary structure includes four short double-helical elements and three loops (D, anti-codon, and T loops). Further hydrogen bonds mediate the characteristic L-shaped molecular structure. tRNAs have two regions of fundamental functional importance: the anti-codon, which is responsible for specific mRNA codon recognition, and the 3' end, to which the tRNAs corresponding amino acid is attached (by aminoacyl-tRNA synthetases). tRNAs cope with the degeneracy of the genetic code in two manners: having more than one tRNA (with a specific anti-codon) for a particular amino acid; and 'wobble' base-pairing, i.e. permitting non-standard base-pairing at the 3rd anti-codon position.
Source: RNAcentral